CACAGGCCCCCCUUUCAUCCCCUACCUAUUAGGGAAGAUCUGUUCGGCAGAGUAGCUGUCGACAUUAUAGUUGCGCAGGCACUUUGGUGACUCUAGAGAACCUCGGGCAAAUCGCAAGUCCCCGCGACGGCGACUUUGCAUUCGGAUAUCUGCCCUAUCAACUUUCGAUGCCACUUUUUGUGCCUACCAUGGUGACCACGGGUAACGGGGAAUCAGGGUUCAAUUCCGGAGAGGGAGUCUGAGAAACGGCUACCACAUCCAAGGAAGGCAGCAGGCGCGCAAAUUACCCACUCCCGACGCGGGGUGGUAGUGAUG
Non-coding RNA from Pelobates cultripes (western spadefoot toad), 315 nucleotides. NCBI's taxonomy places the organism in Eukaryota, Metazoa, Chordata, Amphibia, Anura, Pelobatidae. The record is from the annotation of a GenBank genome assembly.